This 468-nucleotide ribosomal RNA is filed under the name uncultured bacterium. RNAcentral describes it as "partial 16S ribosomal RNA". It matches the Rfam family "Bacterial small subunit ribosomal RNA", at positions 28 to 507 of the family's 1533-position model. The record is from RNAcentral.
GACGAACGCUGGCGGCGUGCUUAACACAUGCAAGUCGAACGGAAACGCCCUGCUUUUGUGGGGUGCUCGAGUGGCGAACGGGUGAGUAACACGUGAGUAACCUGCCCUUGACUUUGGGAUAACUUCAGGAAACUGGGGCUAAUACCGGAUAGGAGCUCCUGCUGCGUGGUGGGGGUUGGAAAGUUUCGGCGGUUGGGGAUGGACUCGCGGCUUAUCAGCUUGUUGGUGGGGUAGUGGCUUACCAAGGCUUUGACGGGUAGCCGGCCUGAGAGGGUGCCCGGCCACAUUGGGACUGAGAUACGGCCCAGACUCCUACGGGAGGCAGCAGUGGGGAAUAGUGCACAAUGGGCGGAAGCCUGAUGCAGCAACGCCGCGUGCGGUAUGACGGCCUUCGGGUUGUAAACCGCUUUCGCCUGUGACGAAGCGUGAGUGACGGUAAUGGGUAAAGAAGCACCGGCUAACUACGUG